GACGAACGCUGGCGGCGUGCCUAAUACAUGCAAGUCGAGCGCAGGAAACUGACGGAACUCUUCGGAGGGAAGGCAGUGGAAUGAGCGGCGGACGGGUGAGUAACACGUAAGGAACCUGCCUCAAGGAUUGGGAUAACUCCGAGAAAUCGGAGCUAAUACCGGAUAGUUCAACGGACCGCAUGGUCCGCUGAGGAAAGGCGCUUCGGCGUCACCUUGAGAUGGCCUUGCGGUGCAUCAGCUAGUUGGUGGGGUAACGGCCCACCAAGGCGACGAUGCAUAGCCGACCUGAGAGGGUGAUCGGCCACACUGGGACUGUGACACGGCCCAGACUCCUACGGGAGGCAGCAGUAGGGAAUCUUCCACAAUGGACGAAAGUCUGAUGGAGCAACGCCGCGUGAGUGAUGAAGGUUUUCGGAUCGUAAAACUCUGUUGUAAGGGAAGAACACGUACGAGAGGAAAUGCUCGUACCUUGACGGUACCUUACGAGAAAGCCACGGCUAACUACGUGCCAGCAGCCGCCGUAA
RNAcentral lists this ribosomal RNA (524 nucleotides) under uncultured bacterium. RNAcentral describes it as "partial 16S ribosomal RNA". It matches the Rfam family "Bacterial small subunit ribosomal RNA", at positions 28 to 523 of the family's 1533-position model. The record is from RNAcentral.